Molecule: ribosomal RNA, 1372 nt
Filed under: uncultured bacterium
Lineage: Bacteria
Description: bacterial SSU rRNA
Rfam family: Bacterial small subunit ribosomal RNA
Source: RNAcentral
GAUAAACGCUGGCGGCGUGCCUAAUACAUGCAAGUCGAGCGAACGGACGAGAAGCUUGCUUCUCUGAUGUUAGCGGCGGACGGGUGAGUAACACGUGGAUAACCUACCUAUAAGACUGGGAUAACUUCGGGAAACCGGAGCUAAUACCGGAUAAUAUUUUGAACCGCAUGGUUCAAAAGUGAAAGACGGUCUUGCUGUCACUUAUAGAUGGAUCCGCGCUGCAUUAGCUAGUUGGUAAGGUAACGGCUUACCAAGGCAACGAUGCAUAGCCGACCUGAGAGGGUGAUCGGCCACACUGGAACUGAGACACGGUCCAGACUCCUACGGGAGGCAGCAGUAGGGAAUCUUCCGCAAUGGGCGAAAGCCUGACGGAGCAACGCCGCGUGAGUGAUGAAGGUCUUCGGAUCGUAAAACUCUGUUAUUAGGGAAGAACAUAUGUGUAAGUAACUGUGCACAUCUUGACGGUACCUAAUCAGAAAGCCACGGCUAACUACGUGCCAGCAGCCGCGGUAAUACGUAGGUGGCAAGCGUUAUCUGGAAUUAUUGGGCGUAAAGCGCGCGUAGGCGGUUUUUUAAGUCUGAUGUGAAAGCCCACGGCUCAACCGUGGAGGGUCAUUGGAAACUGGAAAACUUGAGUGCAGAAGAGGAAAGUGGAAUUCCAUGUGUAGCGGUGAAAUGCGCAGAGAUAUGGAGGAACACCAGUGGCGAAGGCGACUUUCUGGUCUGUAACUGACGCUGAUGUGCGAAAGCGUGGGGAUCAAACAGGAUUAGAUACCCUGGUAGUCCACGCCGUAAACGAUGAGUGCUAAGUGUUAGGGGGUUUCCGCCCCUUAGUGCUGCAGCUAACGCAUUAAGCACUCCGCCUGGGGAGUACGACCGCAAGGUUGAAACUCAAAGGAAUUGACGGGGACCCGCACAAGCGGUGGAGCAUGUGGUUUAAUUCGAAGCAACGCGAAGAACCUUACCAAAUCUUGACAUCCUUUGACAACUCUAGAGAUAGAGCCUUCCCCUUCGGGGGACAAAGUGACAGGUGGUGCAUGGUUGUCGUCAGCUCGUGUCGUGAGAUGUUGGGUUAAGUCCCGCAACGAGCGCAACCCUUAAGCUUAGUUGCCAUCAUUAAGUUGGGCACUCUAAGUUGACUGCCGGUGACAAACCGGAGGAAGGUGGGGAUGACGUCAAAUCAUCAUGCCCCUUAUGAUUUGGGCUACACACGUGCUACAAUGGACAAUACAAAGGGCAGCGAAACCGCGAGGUCAAGCAAAUCCCAUAAAGUUGUUCUCAGUUCGGAUUGUAGUCUGCAACUCGACUACAUGAAGCUGGAAUCGCUAGUAAUCGUAGAUCAGCAUGCUACGGUGAAUACGUUCCCGGGUCU